CCUUUUCACCAAGAAAUGGAGAAACCCUCUGCUAAAAUCUGCACCGGGCUACUGGCCGGCAUCAGAGGCUCGCUGGCUGAACUCUUUCCAUGCAAUGAGCGAAACUGAAGUCUAAUUUUUUCAGUAAAAGUGGUGCCUGCCGGGCACAUCAUAAACAUUCCCCUUUGCACGGGUCUGGGGCGAAACCUCACCUCGCAUUCCCUUGAGGCUUUACCCAUCAGCUUCACGAUCGAAUCGAAGGCUGCACUGAGGCGCUCGGCUUCUUCCUCCUGCAAUUAAAGACAUUCUCUGUAA
Pipra filicauda (Wire-tailed manakin) is the source of this 294-nucleotide long non-coding RNA. RefSeq lists it as uncharacterized. Lineage: Eukaryota; Metazoa; Chordata; Aves; Passeriformes; Pipridae. The transcript is spliced from 2 exons. The record is from RefSeq and is a predicted model, not a curated record.